GCCAGGCAUGGUGGCGCACACCUGUAAUCCCAGCGUCUUGGGAGACUGAGUCAGGAGGAUCAUGAGUUCAAAGCCAGUCUCAGCAAUGGAGAGGUGCUUAGCAAUUCAGUGAGAUUCUGUCUCUA
This 125-nucleotide small RNA is filed under the name Marmota monax (woodchuck). The record is from RNAcentral. Lineage: Eukaryota; Metazoa; Chordata; Mammalia; Rodentia; Sciuridae.